CAGCUGUUUUCACAAUCGAUGAUAUUGUUAGAACCAGUAGAGGUUGAGCGGAGCUUGUGCUCAGAGAAUCAAAAAUCACCAUUGGCGGUGAGGUCCAAAUUGCCGGAGUUUGGGGAUUUUCCCCCUGAGUUGCGAGAGGAUACAUUUGGGCGGGAUAAUGCGGGGCCCGUUGCCACAUCUCUCCCACCAAUCCGAUGCGAGAAAGUGAAAACGCCUUUGGCUAAUACGCUUCCUCCUCAAGACAACGCAGAUGAAAGUAUUUCUAGGGUUUUUGGACAGCUCUGGUCCAUUCCCUCCCCCCGCCGUCGCCAGCCUCACCCCCUUCCACCUAGCAAAACCACCGCCACUUUAGGAUGGCUCAGGAAAGAUCUAGCUCGUUCGGGAUGUUUUUCUCCCUCUGAUUUAUUCCCAGUCAAGCAUCUCCGCCCGUUUGAUCCUCCUCUGACGCUGCUCAAGAUCAUCAGGGAGGGGAUUGGGGCGGGAUCCAAGUCCUUUGCAUAGACUAUCAUGGCGGACAAGAAUAUGCCGCCCGGGGGGCUGAAGCAACGCGGCCCGGCUCCGCCGAAGAUCCCGGGGCGUCACCAAGCCACGGGGGGUGCGCGUCCUGCUGCUGCGCCUAGUAAAGGUGCUGCCCCUCCUACACAAACUGCCAUCGCUGUGCCACCGCCACCGAUCCCUCCUACCCCACCGGUGCAAGUCUUCGACGAGCGUUACAAGGAUAUGGUUUGCUUUACCUGUGGAGGCCCUGGCCACUACGUUGGUAAUUGCAUCCAGAAGAAAGCUUGCUUCAUCUGUGGAUUGGAGGGUCACAAUGUCAAUAAUUGCACAGCCUGGGCGCAACCUCAUCGAGUUGCCACUUUCUUUGGGAGUUCUGCUCUGGGACUGGGGUUCUAUCACAUCGACACUCCUGUGGGUAAAGAAGCAAGUUGGCUGGACUUCAGGAACUGCGGAGAAGUUUGGAUCAUGAAAGGCGAAAUCAACAAGUCAGAUCUAGUUAAGAAUCUCUCUGGUAUAUUUUGCAAAAACAAACAAUGGACGUGGCAGAUCAGGCCACUGUCAGAGAAGAAGUUCCUGGUCAGAUUCCCACCCUGGAAAGAUGUCGAAGAACUGAUUGAAUUCCCUGCCUUUGAUCUGCCCAUCGAUGGAGUGUCUGUGUCUGUGGAAAAGUGGACCGGUUCAGUUGACCCAUUCAGCGAACUUACUGAAGCAUGGGUAGUUGUUGAGGGUCUGUCAUCCAAAUGGUGCACAUGGAAAGUCUUAUCUCAAAUUGCUUCCUGCUUUGGAAUCCUUGUGGAUGUAGAUUGGAAUGGUCUGAUGAAUAGCUUCUAUGAGAAAGUGAGGGUCAAAAUUGCUUGUAGGGACCCAGCUAAGAUCCCUUUCAAAAGGAUUAUGGAGAUGAGGAAAAAACUCUAUAUCUUAUCUUUUACUGUGGAAGGUUUUGACCAGAUAGGGCUGAUGAUCCUAAUGAUGAUGAUGGACCUACUAACAUAGCUGUGGAUGAUGACAACAAGGUAUUUGAAGAGGAGGAACUGAAUAAAGACAUCCUGGAUGAUGGAGAGGAACCCAUAGAUGACCUAGACCUUGCCAACAGAGCCCCCACAAAAACUCCAGCUGGGAAGAAAGCGACUGAUGAUGGUGCUACAUUCCAUCCCCUACUCUGUUGGAGGCAUGCAUCUCUCCUGUGAGGGCUGAUAAGAAGACUGAAGAAAAAACUGUGGCCCAGAGCAUGUGCUCUUCGAUACCCUUCUCUGAGGCAAUCAAAAUCCUUAGCACUUCCCACAACAAAGCAAAUGAGGUCAGUAUGCUUGCUGCAUCGUCAAGUGGUGAAGCUGCUAUCACUUUCCCAGUGUCUGCUCAAAAAAUAUACUGUUCUGGUAUGCUAGAAGAACUGGAAGACUCUGCUUCUAAUACUGACAGUGAAUCCGCUGAACCUGAUGAGGAAAUGGUUACUGUUGAAGCUCCAAUAGCUAGUGGCUUGAAGAUAAUGGAAUUUAUGGAGAAAACCAAGGAAAGGGCUACACCCAAGAACAAGUGGGGCCCGGUGGUUGCUCCAAGACUGAGCUCCAGGGUCCACAACAGGCAAAAUAUCAUGGAGAAAGCUGCAUCUUACAAGAUGAAACAAAACCUGGAAAUCCCCCCUACAUUUAAAAGGCGUGCCGUGGACAAGCACCCGUGCAAUCUUGGCAAGGAUCAGCUCAUCGCUACAUCAAUGGAAGAUUCUCUGUGUGGGCGACCAAUCAGUGCUGCUGAGAAGAUGCAUUCAACUCCUGGAUCGGCGAAGAGGCGAGCUGCUCAGGAUUGCGUGGGCAUUGGGCUGAGAGCUUGCGUGAAGAGGACCCGAGACGAGGCGCUGAAGGCUCAUUCAGAGUGAAGGAAUGUGCUGUCUUGGCCCGGGCGAGGGCUGUAGUCUGUCUUUUCUGUUAAGUAGGCACUUUCCAUUUCGGCAGUUUUUGCUGUAGCUAUGUCGCGCGAAUUUGAACCUUUUAGGCCGUAGUUUUCUCCUACUUUCAAUUUACUCCGGUCUGCCACUCUCAGGUAGGCCCGAUCGCUUUGCUCCGUUCUAAUAAAAUGGGGCGGGGGGAAACCCCUUUUGAUCGAAAAAAAUUUAGAUAAGAUGGUAGAUAACAGUACAUUCUGAAUGAAGCGUUGUACACCUAGCUUCAGCACUUUCA
This is an RNA transcript of Aegilops tauschii subsp. strangulata, 2672 nucleotides long. RefSeq lists it as uncharacterized. The record is from RefSeq and is a predicted model, not a curated record. NCBI's taxonomy places the organism in Eukaryota, Viridiplantae, Streptophyta, Magnoliopsida, Poales, Poaceae.